RNAcentral lists this ribosomal RNA (1206 nucleotides) under uncultured bacterium. RNAcentral describes it as "bacterial SSU rRNA". It matches the Rfam family "Bacterial small subunit ribosomal RNA", at positions 200 to 1412 of the family's 1533-position model. The record is from RNAcentral.
AUUAAAACUCCGGUGGUUACAGAUGGGCAUGCGUGACAUUAGCUAGUUGGUAAGGUAACGGCUUACCAAGGCUACGAUGUCUAGGGGUUCUGAGAGGAUGAUCCCCCACACUGGUACUGAGACACGGACCAGACUCCUACGGGAGGCAGCAGUAAGGAAUAUUGGGCAAUGGAGGCAACUCUGACCCAGCCAUGCCGCGUGAAGGAUUGACGGCCCUCUGGGUUGUAAACUUCUUUUGUACGGGAAUAACCCUCCGAACGUGUUUGGAGUGACGGUACCUUACCAGAAAGCCACGGCUAACUACGUGCCAGCAGCCGCGGUAAUACGGAGGAUGCAAGCGUUAUCCGGAUUUAUUGGGUUUAAAGGGUGCGUAGGCGGCUUUUUAAGUCAGUGGUGAAAUCCUGCCGCUUAACGGUAGAAUUGCCAUUGAUACUGAAAAGCUUGAGUACAUUUGAGGUAAGCGGAAUGUGUAGUGUAGCGGUGAAAUGCUUAGAGAUGACACAGAACACCGACGGCGAAGGCAGGUUACCAACCCAUUACUGACGCUGAGGCACGAAAGCGUGGGGAUCAAACAGGAUUAGAUACCCUGGUAGUCCACGCCGUAAACUAUGAUUACUAGUUGUUGGCGAUACAUUGCCAGUGACUGAGCGAAAGCAUUAAGUAAUCCACCUGGGGAGUACGUUCGCAAGAAUGAAACUCAAAGGAAUUGACGGGGGCCCGCACAAGCGGAGGAGCAUGUGGUUUAAUUCGAUGAUACGCGAGGAACCUUACCUGGGCUUAAAUGUAGAGCGACAGAUUGUGAAAGCAGUCCUUCUUCGGACGAUCUACAAGGUGCUGCAUGGUUGUCGUCAGCUCGUGCCGUGAGGUGUCGGGUUAAGUCCCAUAACGAGCGCAACCCUUAUCGUUAGUUGCCAGCGGGUCAAGCCGGGGACUCUAGCGAGACUGCCACCGUAAGGUGUGAGGAAGGUGGGGAUGACGUCAAAUCAGCACGGCCCUUAUGUCCAGGGCUACACACGUGUUACAAUGGCCGAUACAAAGGGCAGCUACUCCGCGAGGAGAUGCUAAUCUCUAAAGUCGGUCCCAGUUCGGAUUGGAGUCUGCAACCCGACUCCAUGAAGUUGGAUUCGCUAGUAAUCGCGCAUCAGCCAUGGCGCGGUGAAUACGUUCCCGGGCCUUGUACACACCGCCCGUCAAGCCAUGGGAGCU